Molecule: ribosomal RNA, 225 nt
Filed under: uncultured bacterium
Lineage: Bacteria
Description: partial 16S ribosomal RNA
Rfam family: Bacterial small subunit ribosomal RNA
Source: RNAcentral
GGUUUAAUUCGAUGAUACGCGAGGAACCUUACCCGGGCUUGAAUUGCAGAGGAAGGAUUUGGAGACAAUGACGCCCUUCGGGGUCUCUGUGAAGGUGCUGCAUGGUUGUCGUCAGCUCGUGCCGUGAGGUGUCGGCUUAAAGUGCCAUAACGAGCGCAACCCCUCUCCUUAGUUGCCAUCAGGUCAAGCUGGGCACUCUGGGGACACUGCCACCGUAAGGUGUGA